RNAcentral lists this long non-coding RNA (317 nucleotides) under Capsicum annuum. RNAcentral's name for it is "long non-coding RNA (CANN_LNC021270)". The record is from RNAcentral. Lineage: Eukaryota; Viridiplantae; Streptophyta; Magnoliopsida; Solanales; Solanaceae.
CACUUUGAUUACAGUUUUAUUUUAUUGUAGUACUAUUCUGUUAUUAUUUUAUGUUUUUUAUGUUAUCUAUUGUCUUUUGUACUUUCAUUACGUCAUUUUUAGAUUUCUUUUGUCUUGAGUCGAGGAUUUAUCGAAAGCAACCUCUCUACUUCAACUCAGGGGUAAAGGUAAGAUCUGCAAACACUAUACCUGCCUCGAACCUUACUAUAUUGGAUUAAGCUCAAUAUAUUAUUAUUGAUGUUGUUUUGUUUUGUAAUGUUAAUAUAUCAAUGUGGUGUUUUUUUAUUGAGAGGACUUGGGGGUUAGUUUGGGAUGGG